This 77-nucleotide transfer RNA is filed under the name bacterium. Its description in RNAcentral is "tRNA-Val". It matches the Rfam family "tRNA". From Rfam's summary of the family: Transfer RNA (tRNA) molecules are approximately 80 nucleotides in length. Their secondary structure includes four short double-helical elements and three loops (D, anti-codon, and T loops). The record is from RNAcentral.
GGGCGGUUAGCUCAGUUGGCUAGAGCACUUCGUUUACACCGAAGGGGUCAUAGGUUCGAGUCCUAUACCGCCCACCA